Molecule: non-coding RNA, 122 nt
Filed under: Caulobacterales bacterium
Lineage: Bacteria; Pseudomonadati; Pseudomonadota; Alphaproteobacteria; Caulobacterales
Description: Glycine sequence
Rfam family: Glycine riboswitch aptamer
About the family: This family represents the bacterial glycine riboswitch.
Source: RNAcentral
CGCUGGAAAGUCGCCCCCCUCGCGGGAUUCACGGGCGCGCCGACGGAGCAAGCCUUGUCAUCCCGGACGAUGCGAAGCGUCGAUCAGGGACGGGGCGGAAUCUCUCAGGCUUCAGGACAGCG